RNAcentral lists this ribosomal RNA (273 nucleotides) under uncultured bacterium. RNAcentral's name for it is "partial 16S ribosomal RNA". It matches the Rfam family "Bacterial small subunit ribosomal RNA", at positions 524 to 796 of the family's 1533-position model. The record is from RNAcentral.
UACAGAGGUGGCAAGCGUUGUUCGGAAUUACUGGGCGUAAAGGGCGCGUAGGCGGUCCGAUAAGUCCCGUGUGAAAGCCCCCGGCUCAACUGGGGAACUGCACGGGAAACUGACGGACUUGAGUUCGGGAGAGGGAAGCGGAAUUCCGGGUGUAGCGGUGAAAUGCGUAGAUAUCCGGAGGAACACCGGUGGCGAAGGCGGCUUCCUGGACCGACACUGACGCUGAGGCGCGAAAGCUAGGGGAGCAAACGGGAUUAGAAACCCCCGUAGUCC